CCUCCCCAUGUAGGAGCAAUAGGGGUUCGUCAUUGUGAUUGGGCACAAUGCCUUUGUAGGGAAGCAAACUCUUUUCCUCCGAUCCUGCAGCCUUCCUCAUCCCUCUUCCUCGAUCCUCCCUCCACCACCAGCCGCUGCUACCGCUCCUCCAUGGCUCAACCCCUCCUCUUCGUCCGAUGGAGGUGACCGACUUUGCUCCUUCUCGAGCUGCUCGUUCUCUCCUCUCCCCCGACGACCAGUGCAGGAGAGAGAAGAUGAGAGAGGAGGGAGAGAGAAGGAAGGAGAGGAGGGAUAAAGAGAUAGGAAAGAGAAAAGGGAGGUACGACGGCGGACGGGGUAGGUUCACCGGUCGGCGCCGGCAAGGUCGGGCGUGGUCUCGGGGUCGGUGGUGGCUUGAUCCGCUCUUGGAUCGGGGGCCUCCCGUCCGCGCCGCAGCGUCGCUGGCAUGGAGGCCCGGGCUCGGGCAGCCACUGUCGUGUCGGGCGUGCUGGUGAGGUCUCUAGGGACACCAUGGCCCCAAUGUAAACGGCAUCGCGGCCGCCCCAGAGGAAGUCAAAGACGAAGGAUCACUGGCAGUUUGAUCGAGUUCAUCUUCAUCCUACAGGUGGAUCCAACAAGUUUGACAGCUGGAGACACAGAAGAAGGGAGGCAGGUGGAGCAGUUGAUGGAACAGGAAGAGGACAUCAUGGUAUUUUCAAUCAGCAUCUGCACUUCUCCUUUUUCUUCUUUGUUUAGGUGUUUCAAAUCUCAAUUCAUCGGUUUGGAACUUGGACCCUCGGAACUCAUUUUUCAGUUCUUACUAAAAUCCCAAUUUGGUUGUCUUAUAAUAUUUUACUUCUCUGAAUUUUCUCUUUUGCCUGUUGGUUUAGUUGUUCUGCAUGCACUUGGCCCCAAAUCUUUUAACUUAGUUGGUCACAACUCACAACUGGUGUUUAUCUUCUUAGGAUCUACUCCCUCCGUUCCUAAAUAUUUGUCUUUCUAGAGAUUUUAAUAAAUGACUACAUACGGAGCAAAAUGAGUGAAUCUACACUCUAAAAUAUGUCUAUAUACAUCCGUAUGUGGUAGUCCAUUUGAAAUCUCUAAAAAACAAAUAUUUAGGAACGGAGGGAGUAGCUGAGGAUUGGCAUGCUGGCACAACAACAUGGUCCUAUUGGGGAUGGUGAAGAAACAAACCCCACUGUCAGUUCUCCAAACCCUACUGGGGAUGAUGCGCCUCCUGCUCUCGUCCUCUGUUCGUCCGUCCACCUCGCUCCAGCCGCCGCCUCUCGUCCUCGGUUCGUCGUUCCGCCUCUCUCCACCCGUCGUUGCACUGCUUCUGUAGACCACCAUGAAGGUGGUUGUUGGUUGAGUGUGAGAGCUGUAGUUCUUCGUCGAUCGCUGAUCUUGUUCGUCAAUGAAUUCUGCGGCUGUCAUCGUCACCAAGAAAUCGCACUAAUUGGUUCGUCGUCAGAUUUGCCUUGCUGUUUCAUCUGCUCAAACGAUCAUCUUUGUGUUGAGGAAUUGGCGUCAUCAAUUGAUACUCGAGUUUACCUUGUUAUUUGAUCUGCUGGGCAUAUCGACUCUGCGGUAAGGUUAACUAUACUGAAGAGAACCUGCUCGACUACAUUGAUCCAAACAAUGAUACACUCAUGGUCAGACUUGCAGACGACCAUCUGCUCACCGAAUGUCGCAUCAUGCUAGGAACUGACAAGAGGGCCACUACAACCACCAACAUUCGUGAAGGAGACAUCUGUGCAUUUCGUUUCAGGAUCACUUCAAAGGGCCGCCUGGUUCUCACCGUGCACUGCCUCUAGAUGCACCAUCGAAGACGCUGCAGCCCAUGUGUGACUGUGUCAAUAUAAUAUAAUAUAAUUCUAUGAUAACCUAUGGUUCGCUUUUGGGCAUCAUGGUUGUCACUAUUCUUUAUAGUAUAUAUUUCUAUUUCU
This is a non-coding RNA of Triticum urartu, 1925 nucleotides long. NCBI's taxonomy places the organism in Eukaryota, Viridiplantae, Streptophyta, Magnoliopsida, Poales, Poaceae. The record is from RefSeq and is a predicted model, not a curated record.